RNAcentral lists this long non-coding RNA (506 nucleotides) under Rattus norvegicus (Norway rat). RNAcentral describes it as "long non-coding RNA NONRATT003382". Lineage: Eukaryota; Metazoa; Chordata; Mammalia; Rodentia; Muridae. The record is from RNAcentral.
GGGGGCCAAACCUAUUCAGCCCAACACAGAUGUCAUUUGCUGAGUGAAGCGCUCUGGUAGAGGCCCUCCUUGAGAAUAAGUGACGGUUUAGAGGAAGGCAAGUCCUGGGUGUCUGGUUCAAAAGAAACUCAGAACAAAUGGUGAACUGUGGUUCCUAUUAGCAUACCAAAGAGCAUGCUGGCCUCUAGGCUCACUCAGCACCUGUGGCUCUUCUCACCUCACCUCUACCCUAAACUUCUCCAGCUCAUUGGCUUUCCUUCCCCCAGCUUCUCAUUCUUGUAAUGUAAUAACACUACCAUUUCGGCCGGCCAUGUGCUUUCUUGAUUCUCCCUCCCUUUCCCCCUCUCUUUUGGUCCUUACUUCUCUUCCUCUCUCACUCUCCAACCCCCCCAUCAGUCUUCUGGCCAUGUUUAAUUUCCUACUGUCUUUCCACUCUGGAUUCUUCCAGAUGCCUCUGGCGGUGUUCUCCCUCCUAUCUACAAUAAAAACCUUCCCCCUAACCAUAA